UAACCUGCCUCUUAGCGGGGGAUAACUAUUGGAAACGAUAGCUAAUACCGCAUAAAAGUCGACAUCGCAUGAUGUUGACUUGAAAGGUGCAAUUGCAUCACUAAGAGAUGGACCUGCGUUGUAUUAGCUAGUUGGUGAGGUAACGGCUCACCAAGGCGACGAUACAUAGCCGACCUGAGAGGGUGAUCGGCCACACUGGGACUGAGACACGGCCCAG
Molecule: ribosomal RNA, 217 nt
Filed under: uncultured bacterium
Lineage: Bacteria
Description: partial 16S ribosomal RNA
Rfam family: Bacterial small subunit ribosomal RNA
Source: RNAcentral